AGAAGACCUCUAGUUUGUCCUGCAACUUCAGUCAAUAUCCCACUUAAAUCAUCCCAGGUAAUAGAGAAGAGGAAACCUAAUCAAUGGCAGUGGAAUAAUAUGGAAGAAGAUGGAAAAAACUUGUUUAAUGGGUUGAAAGAGUGGAGCCUUCUAUAAGACAUGGAUAGAUGCAAACAUGUCGGGCGGUUGCGGCUCGCCCAGGACCACUCCAUCCUGAACCCGCAGAAGUGGUGCUGCAGGGAGUGCGCCACCACCGAGUCCGUGUGGGCUUGUCUCAAGUGCUCCCACGUGGCCUGCGGCCGCUACAUCGAGGAUCACGCCCUGAAACACUUCGAGGAGACUGGGCACCCGCUGGCCAUGGAGGUCCGGGACCUGUACGUGUUCUGUUACCUGUGCAAGGACUACGUGCUCAACGAUAACCCGGAGGGGGACCUGAAGCUGCUCAGGAGCUCCCUCCUGGCGGUCAGGGGCCAGAAGCAGGACCCGCCGCUGAGGCGCGGGCGGACGCUGCGGUCCAUGGCCUCGGGCGAGGACGCCGUCCUGCCGCAGCGCGCUCCUCAGGGACAGCCGCAGAUGCUCACGGCUCUGUGGUACCGGCGCCAGCGCCUGCUGGCCAAGACGCUGCGGCUGUGGUUCGAGAAGAGCUCCCGCGGCCAGGCGAAGCUGGAGCAGCGGCGGCGGGAGGAGGCGCUGGAGCGGAAGAAGGAGGCGGCGCGGCAGCGGCGGCGCGAGGUGAAGCGGCGGCUGCUGGAGGAGCUGGCCAGCGCCCCUCCGCGCAAAAGCGCGCGCCUGCUGCUGCACGCGCCCCGCGCCGCCGCCCCGCGCCCCGCCGCCCCGCGCGCGCCCGCCGGGGGCCGCCCGCCGCCGCGCCGCGCUCCCGCCAUGGCGCCGGGCGUCACGGGCCUGCGCAACCUGGGCAACACCUGCUACAUGAACUCCAUCCUGCAGGUGCUCAGCCACCUCCAGAAGUUCCGCGAGUGUUUUCUGUACCUCGACCCUUCCCAGACCCAGCAGCUGUUCCCCAAGGCCCCCAACGGGAAGGCCCCGCUCUCGGGCAGGCCGGCCGCCUCGGCCGCGGAGCUGUCGGCCAGGAGCGGCGGGGCCGAGGCGUGCGAGCGCGAGGGCCUCUGCUUCAACGGCGGGGCCUCCAUCAGCAGGAGCCUAGAACUCAUACAGAACAAGGAGCCGAGCUCGAAGCACAUUUCCCUCUGUCACGAACUGCACACCCUCUUCCGAGUCAUGUGGUCCGGGAAGUGGGCCCUGGUGUCCCCCUUCGCCAUGCUUCACUCCGUGUGGAGCCUGAUCCCCGCCUUCCGUGGCUACGACCAGCAGGACGCGCAGGAAUUCCUCUGCGAGCUGUUGCACAAAGUGCAGCAAGAGCUCGAGUCUGAGGGCACCACGCGCCGGAUCCUCAUCCCCUUCUCCCAGAGGAAGCUCACCAAACAGGUCUUAAAGGUAGUGAACACCAUAUUCCACGGGCAGCUACUCAGUCAGGUCACAUGUAUAUCAUGCAAUUACAAAUCCAAUACCAUUGAGCCCUUUUGGGAUCUGUCCCUGGAAUUCCCUGAACGGUAUCACUGCAUAGAAAAGGGGUUUGUCCCUUUGAAUCAGACAGAGUGCCUGCUCACUGAGAUGCUGGCUAAGUUCACAGAGACAGAGGCUCUGGAAGGGAGAAUCUACGCUUGUGACCAGUGUAACAGCAAACGACGAAAAUCCAAUCCCAAACCCCUUGUUCUGAGUGAAGCUAGAAAGCAGUUAAUGAUCUACAGACUACCUCAGGUCCUCCGGCUGCACCUUAAAAGAUUCAGGUGGUCUGGCCGUAAUCAUCGAGAGAAGAUUGGGGUCCAUGUCGUCUUUGACCAGGUAUUAACCAUGGAACCUUACUGCUGCAGGGACAUGCUCUCCUCUCUUGACAAAGAGACCUUUGCCUAUGAUCUCUCCGCAGUGGUCAUGCAUCACGGGAAAGGGUUUGGCUCAGGACACUACACAGCCUAUUGCUACAACACAGAGGGAGGUUUUUGGGUCCACUGCAAUGACUCAAAGCUGAAUGUAUGCAGUGUCGAGGAAGUGUGCAAAACUCAAGCCUACAUCCUUUUUUACACUCAAAGAACAGUUCAGGGCAAUGCAAGAAUUUCAGAAACCCAACUCCAAGCUCAGGUGCAGUCCAGCAACAACGAUGAGGGCAGACCACGGCCCUUCCACUGAAUGGGAGGCAUGUUUCAAGGACUGGCUUGCUUUUAAAUUGUUGGUGUUUAUACAUCUUUCCUCUUACAGGAAGUAAGGUUUAGUGCAGGAACAGAAUACUAAGUUUGCCUCACUGGGACUACAGCAGAAGGUGCCAGCCAGCGGUUAAGUUUGUAAGUGGAAUGAAACUGCCCAGAUGGAAACCCUCCUCCCCAUCAGAGACCACUGAAUUUACCUUCUCACUCCUGCAGUUAGACUCACCAGGAACAGCAAACGCCAACCGGAACUGUCACUGCAGGGGCUGCUGCAGCCUGCCUCAGCCAUCAGUAUGAAGCUGAGUGUCUCAUAUUAAGGUUUCAGUUCAGGUAGCAGUACUGUUGUCACUCAAAGGAAGCAGAUAUGGAGGGAGUUUGGGAGAGGGUGGGAUGUUGGGAAAAGAGAGGGUAAGAAUGAGGGUCAUAGCUUAGGGGUUUCGGUGAGCCCCAUUUCCAGAUCAGAUCUGUAGCAUGUGCUGUUGACCUCUUUUGAGAUGAACUCUCCCAUAGGACCUGCCAGAUAGCGCUGAGACAUGGAAGAAAUUCAGACAAAAUGGCUCACCCUGAUAAAGAAGGGGGAGUGACUAUAUUUUAAAUUAAACUUGCUUUUUCCAACACUGUGAGGUUUCUGUAAUACUUAGCUUUUAUUUGGAAGCGAUAGCGUAUGGCAUUUUUUAUGCUAUUUGGUUUAUAUGGUCUACUGCAGGCUUCUUUGUACAAGCUUGGCCUGGGCUCGCCCUCUCCUGGACACUGUUUUAAAGUGUUACAGCUGCCCAUGUUGCCAGAGGCUCUGAUAUAAAGCUGUACUCUCUAGAUCCACAUUUUUAAGUUGGCAGGAUUGAUGAUGACUUUUUGCAGCAAUGGAAAAGUUCAUUAACUCAACAAAAACAAAAAACAAAACCCAAGGAGAGUAAAAAAGAAAAUACAAAUUGUGCCUCAUCUGUCUUUGAAUGCUAUAUUUAUUAUUCUAGAAAAAGAGAACUUACAAAUGGAAAAGAACUAAUAGAGCAUCUACUUCAUCCCUCCGGCUGUCCAGGGGGAAAUACUUAAGAAAAAUGAACAUUUAAUGAAAAAUUAAAAGAUCUUCAAAUUUAAUUUUUAAAGAUAGUUUUAUACCAAAUAUUUAUAAGAAUUAUUAAGCAGAUUUAAGGACUUUAUGAAAUAAGCCCUUAACUUAGCUGAGCACCCCUGUAUCAAACUAAUAAAAUUGUUUAAAAUAAGUUGGAAUAGAAACCACUACCAGAGUCCUCACUGAGCUGCAUACUCUCGAAGGUGCCCCUGCAGUCACAGACACCUCAGGUACCCAGAGGCAGCAGCACUAGACGCUGUUGAGAAGUUAGUAUUUAUGGAGAUUUUUAUUAAAGAGUUCCCUGCUGCAUAAGCCAAUGGCUGUUGUGAGGGAAGUGUCCCUUUGCCUUUAAUUUAUUUACAUAUUGGAAGUAGAUGGAUUUCUUAGUUGCAUCUUACUUUAAACUGAAACAUUCUAAAGAGAAGAAGAUAAGAACAAGGUAGACAUUGACUAGAUGCUGCCAAAUCAAACCCAAGAUCUCCUAACUAAACCUUAUGGGGCCUGCUGCUCCCAGACAAGUAGUUAGUGUCCCAUUCCAGGAACCCUUUGUAGUUGGCUGGUGUGUUUACUUUCUGCUGUAGCCAGCCAAGAUGAAUGCACCCUGGCCCUCAAAAAGGAUUUUUACCUCAGUCUAGUUUGACCCUCAUACUUGUGGUUGCCUCUGAGAUAAGCAUCCAUGCUAGUUUAAAAAAAAAAAAAAAAUUAGGAAUGCCCUUAACAGCCAGGAACUGAAGCUCUUAUUAAAUGGUGGGCAGAGCUCUUGCCAGUUUUGAUCCAGCCCCUUCUUGGGCCCUCUGAGGGGGGCAGUGCCACACUGAAAAGAAUUUCCAGAUGUCUCUUAAAAUGUCAUGAAUAAAAUUAGAAACUGUAGAAGUGUUAAUGUGUCCUAUGGACUCAAUAGCAGAGUUUAUUUUUGUUUUUAAUGGCAAGGCUUCUAGAGUCAAUGAUUGUAUGAGUUCCCUACUCUGGCUAUGCUUAUAGCUCCAUCCAAGUGCAAGAACUGAUGAAGUGAAUUGGCUGGCAGUGGGGCAUAAGCCUGAGAGAGGUUGACAGUAGUACAGAAUGAAAACUUGCUUGGGUUGUGGGGGUGGGAUGUGGGUGGGCAGGCAGGGAGGGGGAGAUGGGAGUUUGUUUUACUUAUUGAUAAAGCUUUGUGAACUAAUUUUAUACAAUUCAUAACAUUUGGUGCCUUGUACCCAGUUAUGGUUUGCAUGGGAUUGAAAAGAUUAAGGGAAAAGAUGCCUCCUUGUCAUUUUGGGUGACAAAUGGGUCUGUACAGUGUAAAGGACAUUUGAUAUAAGACUUUUAAAAAGCAUUUCAUCUCAUGUGUGAAAGAUAAUUAUUCUUACCAGCAGGUUCUGAAAUUUUACUGUGUAAUGUCCAAAAUCUUUGGAUUUGUGACUAUUCAUCAAAUGGCUGCUUUUCAAGGCAGACUGUAUACCCCGUUCUGUCUCAGCACCUCUUUUACGUUCCAAACAUUAACUUGGGCCUUUUCGGGUAGGCUGGGAGUGCUACUUCUUCCCAAACAUAUACUAUACCCUUGUCGGGUUAUAUAUUAUGAGUGGAAGAGUUGUUUUUCCAGCUGGUUGGGAGAGCACAAAUGUUCAGAAAGGGCCUUUUUUUCCUAAUGCUGGACAACUUAGGAUAGAAGUCGAACAAAAAUGGUUCCUCCUGAAGGAUUACCUUCCUUAGUUCUGAAGUUCUUUUGCACAAAAUUUCAGGAAGCAGUGUAGAACACAAUCCCCAAUAUGUGAACCUUUAGAUUAUAAGGCAAGCCAGUGCACUGUGUAAUAUGUAAAAGAGAAGGCUCAAAGAACCUACCCCAGCCCUCCAGCCUCUUCCCCUGGCAGGUGCUGACUGGGAUGAUGCUGAGUGGCUGAGGAAGGGGAGAAGACCCAGUCUGCUCACCUGCAGGGCUGUUUAUAGCCUGUUCCUUUUACUCUGAUCUUAAGGUUUCCAUUGAGCUUGUGAGACUUCACCAAAGGGUGUUUAAAAAGCUCACCACUUGAAGCACAUUUGAAAAUUGGUUCUUUCGGCCUAAUUACUGCCCUAAUUAAUUGGGUGAGGUUGUACUUUUGGAGCAAAAUCUCCCAUGGUAACUUAGUUUUUUACUGGGUAAGUAUGCAUCUCCCUGGUGGUUCAGAUUCUUUUUAAAAUCAGCACUAAAGCUGAAAGCACCUUCUGACUGUGAGUUUAGUUUAGAUCUUUCACAUUUAACCAUUGUCUUGGUCUAGGGCUUCAACUGACCAGUGUUUAUUCUUUCAACCCACACAUUGCUCUAAAUACACUAUAGCUAGCCACUCCAGCAUUGAUCAAAUGGUCAUUCUUGUGGACUCUUCCCAUACUUAUUUCUGCUGGCACGUUUCCAUUUAAAAUCUAACCACGUAAUCUGAGAUUUUUGUAGUGCUAUGUUAAUCAGCCAGGGCUAAAAAUCAUAUGACAAAUGUGAAACCGACUUUGCUUGGGAAGAAUGUUGUGUUGGAAUGGUGAAGGCCAGCAUUUCAAUUUAUGGAAUUCAUAACUGUUCAUCAGAAUUUGGGAAAAUUGUAGAUUUGAUAGCUUUACUUGCUAAAUUCUUAACACUGAGGAAUUAAGCCAGUUUAAAUGAAACUUUACCUUGCCAGUAUUACGGCUUUAUAAACCCACUAACAGUAAAUUCUAUUCCUUGAAGCUAAAACGUAAAAUUUUGAGUGAAAUACAAAUUAUGCUUUGGAAGCUGCCAUGUCUUAAUUUGCUGGAUUUUUAUUUUCAAUCUUAAAAAACUUUGUAAAAUAGAACUCUUCACAGUUAUGAGUAGAUCAGGCCGCAGACCAAGGAUCUGUUUCAUGCCUAUGAAGAACAGGAGAUGCUUGUAUUAUCUUAGCAGUGGUCUGAUGCAGAUCUGAAGGGGCUUAGAAUUUAUGCUGUGGCUUAAGUUUCCUUUCUGGUCACCAUGGGGGAGGGUUCAAACCCAAGCUUUGCUCUCAUGCGUGUGACCAUUUCUCAUCCUAACACCUAGUAAGAUGGGUGUUAAGACCUGUCAAGUCGUCUGUGGUCCUAGCGUAGAAUCUUUCAGGGUCUUGGCUUCUUGGUAAGCAAGCCAUCCACAGGCCUGAAUUCACACAUGCUCAACCUCCUCCCCAACAGAUGGAGCCUACCUGACGACUGUAAGAGAACAGGACUUUGUAAAACAUACACAAUCUGAUUCUCAAGAUUUCUUAACGAGAUUUAUGCCGGUUAGGCCACUGUGGUGCAUUCAUACUGACCCCUCCAUCCUUUCCAGUUCAUACCCUUUAAUCCCAUAUCCCUUCCAUAGGAAACUUGACGUGGAAAAGCAGGAUUUUAAAAAAUACCUAAUAGAUGGGCUCCUGGCUAGCUGUCAGAGCAUGCAACUCUUGAUCUCAGGGUCAUGAGUUGGAGCCCCAUGUUGGGUGUAGAAAGACUCAAUAAAUAAACUUUUAAAAAAUAAAUGCCUAGAAUAAAACAACCAGAACAAAAUUGCCUAGGGGGAAAACUGUCUCUCUCCACAUCUUUCUGAGCCUACAUGAGUCUUUUCCACUGCCAGUUCCUUACAUAUUCCAUUUCCAAAGAACUCCCAACUCUUGGGACAGUGGCACUACCGUGAGUUUCAGGUCAGAGAACAUCUAUUUCCUCGUGAAGGAAACAGCUUCCUCAAGCAGUGUCACUUAGUACCCGCUGCCCAGGCUGACUCACCUUGCCUCCACCUGCGUAUCACUGCCCUCUUUCUCCCAAGAGAUCCCACUCGAUUAUAGCAACAAUGCCCCCCUGGUGCCUGGAAAACCCACCUGGUGCAGUAAAAUGCUAUGCAACACCAAAUGGCUUCUUCCCCUACUUCUGCUCAACAGUGGAAAUUCCUCAAAAAUCACGUUUCACCUUAUGUUGGCAUCAGUGUACAGUGGCUACGGUUUUUUCUUUUUUUUUUUUCCUUUUAAUAUGAAGCAAACCAUCUCUGUUACAAUUCAUGUUUGGGGCUCGUUCAUGUCUCUUGAGUGUGAAAUAAAAAUCAUGUUUUUAUGAUUUUUGUAAAUCUUGACUUUUUACACCUUGUUUUUGUAAGCUGAAGUUUCUUAUUAAAAGAAUAAAAUGA
Canis lupus familiaris (dog) is the source of this 7375-nucleotide RNA transcript. It is a transcript of the gene named ubiquitin specific peptidase 49, with no coding region annotated. NCBI's taxonomy places the organism in Eukaryota, Metazoa, Chordata, Mammalia, Carnivora, Canidae. The transcript has 8 exons. The record is from RefSeq and is a predicted model, not a curated record.